UACAGAGGUCUCAAGCGUUGUUCGGAUUCAUUGGGCGUAAAGGGUGUGUAGGUGGCUACGUAAGUCGGGUGUGAAAUUUCGGAGCUUAACUCCGAAACUGCAUUCGAUACUGCCGUGCUUGAGGACUGGAGAGGAGACUGGAAUUUACGGUGUAGCAGUGAAAUGCGUAGAGAUCGUAAGGAAGACCAGUGGCGAAGGCGGGUCUCUGGACAGUGCCUGACACUGAGGCACGAAGGCCAGGGGAGCAAACGGG
RNAcentral lists this ribosomal RNA (253 nucleotides) under uncultured bacterium. Its description in RNAcentral is "partial 16S ribosomal RNA". It matches the Rfam family "Bacterial small subunit ribosomal RNA", at positions 524 to 776 of the family's 1533-position model. The record is from RNAcentral.